This is a long non-coding RNA of Magallana angulata, 396 nucleotides long. RefSeq lists it as uncharacterized. The record is from RefSeq and is a predicted model, not a curated record. NCBI's taxonomy places the organism in Eukaryota, Metazoa, Mollusca, Bivalvia, Ostreida, Ostreidae. The transcript is spliced from 3 exons.
AAUCUACACUUAUCGAGGAUUUUUGAAGUAUCUGUGGCUGGAUUUCACUCUGCUUGUUUCGUCAUUCAAUGGAUAUACCUUGCUUGUAAAGUGGUUGUCAUAUAAUUUUGUUCCAAACGUGUUUCUACACGUCUUUUCGUCCAAGGGUACUUCAGACGGGACUCAAUGGCCUCAUUUAGAAACGCUAUUACGGAAAUAACCGAAACAACCUCCUUCAAAUGUUAUGACAGAAAUCAUCGGAACCGAUCAUUGUCCGGAAGCACAACUCUCACUUCGCUAAAGGAAGUUUCUGGGUGAUUUGGAAUCAAAGCUAAAAAUGGCUUUGUCAAAGACUGACUGGGCUAUAGGCGCCAAGGUAAAUAAAACAUUCAAAACACUCCCUCCGUGUGCCUACAC